GUUCAUGUGAACCUAGCCCUACAGCCCAGACACUUAAUCUCUACUGCACUACUACUGACGACUUCGAGUCGCAAGGAAAUAAGGAAAUUUCUCCUUAAAAUGCUCAGCGUUCACCAAGUGUGGACGGCAGCUAUCCCUAAAAGCUAUCGUGAAUUGAGGUGUGGAGAGCUGGACAGACGACUCAGCAAUUACCAGCACGAGCUGCUCUUGCCGAAGACCCCGGUUCAGCUCCCAGAAUCCAGAUCAAGCCAGCUCAGAAACAGCUACCAGUAAAUGUAGCCCUGGGAGAUCGGAAGCCCUCUUCUUCCUGGAUACUGUGAAACCAAAAAGACCUACAAAGACUCUAAGGGAAUAAAGGGUUUUCAACCACCA
Long non-coding RNA from Mastomys coucha (southern multimammate mouse), 372 nucleotides. RefSeq lists it as uncharacterized. The transcript has 2 exons. NCBI's taxonomy places the organism in Eukaryota, Metazoa, Chordata, Mammalia, Rodentia, Muridae. The record is from RefSeq and is a predicted model, not a curated record.